This 480-nucleotide ribosomal RNA is filed under the name uncultured bacterium. RNAcentral's name for it is "partial 16S ribosomal RNA". It matches the Rfam family "Bacterial small subunit ribosomal RNA", at positions 29 to 507 of the family's 1533-position model. The record is from RNAcentral.
AUGAACGCUGGCGGCGUGCUUAACACAUGCAAAUCGCACGAAGCACUUUAUUUGAUUUCCUUCGGGACUGAUUAUUUUGUGACUGAGUGGCGGACGGGUGAGUAACGCGUGGGUAACCUGCCUUGUACAGGGGGAUAACAGUUGGAAACGGCUUCUAAUACCGCAUAAGCGCACGUCAUCGCAUGAUGCAGUGUGAAAAACUCCGUUGGUAUAAGAUGGACCCGCGUUGGAUUAGCUAGUUGGUGAGGUAACGGCCCACCAAGGCGACGAUCCAUAGCCGACCUGAGAGGGUGACCGGCCACAUUGGGACUGAGACACGGCCCAAACUCCUACGGGAGGCAGCAGUGGGGAAUAUUGCACAAUGGGCGAAAGCCUGAUGCAGCGACGCCGCGUGAGCGAAGAAGUAUUUCGGUAUGUAAAGCUCUAUCAGCAGGGAAGAUAAUGACGGUACCUGACUAAGAAGCACCGGCUAAAUACGUG